RNAcentral lists this transfer RNA (72 nucleotides) under Candidatus Acetothermia bacterium. RNAcentral describes it as "tRNA-Lys". It matches the Rfam family "tRNA". From Rfam's summary of the family: Transfer RNA (tRNA) molecules are approximately 80 nucleotides in length. Their secondary structure includes four short double-helical elements and three loops (D, anti-codon, and T loops). Further hydrogen bonds mediate the characteristic L-shaped molecular structure. tRNAs have two regions of fundamental functional importance: the anti-codon, which is responsible for specific mRNA codon recognition, and the 3' end, to which the tRNAs corresponding amino acid is attached (by aminoacyl-tRNA synthetases). tRNAs cope with the degeneracy of the genetic code in two manners: having more than one tRNA (with a specific anti-codon) for a particular amino acid; and 'wobble' base-pairing, i.e. permitting non-standard base-pairing at the 3rd anti-codon position. RNAcentral also lists the same sequence under 2 other names. Lineage: Bacteria; Candidatus Bipolaricaulota. The record is from RNAcentral.
GGGUCGUUAGCUCAGUGGCAGAGCACCUGACUUUUAAUCAGGGAGUCGCUGGUUCGAAUCCAGCACGACCCA